Molecule: ribosomal RNA, 497 nt
Filed under: uncultured bacterium
Lineage: Bacteria
Description: partial 16S ribosomal RNA
Rfam family: Bacterial small subunit ribosomal RNA
Source: RNAcentral
GAUGAACGCUGGCGGCGUGCCUAAUACAUGCAAGUCGAGCGAACAGACGAGGAGCUUGCUCCUCUGACGUUAGCGGCGGACGGGUGAGUAACACGUGGAUAACCUACCUAUAAGACUGGGAUAACUUCGGGAAACCGGAGCUAAUACCGGAUAAUAUAUUGAACCGCAUGGUUCAAUAGUGAAAGACGGUUUUGCUGUCACUUAUAGCUGGAUCCGCGCCGCAUUAGCUAGUUGGUAAGGUAACGGCUUACCAAGGCAACGAUGCGUAGCCGACCUGAGAGGGUGAUCGGCCACACUGGAACUGAGACACGGUCCAGACUCCUACGGGAGGCAGCAGUAGGGAAUCUUCCGCAAUGGGCGAAAGCCUGACGGAGCAACGCCGCGUGAGUGAUGAAGGUCUUCGGAUCGUAAAACUCUGUUAUUAGGGAAGAACAAAUGUGUAAGUAACUAUGCACGUCUUGACGGUACCUAAUCAGAAAGCCACGGCUAACUACGUG